This 877-nucleotide ribosomal RNA is filed under the name Serpula himantioides. Its description in RNAcentral is "LSU rRNA". It matches the Rfam family "Eukaryotic large subunit ribosomal RNA", at positions 67 to 915 of the family's 3401-position model. The record is from RNAcentral. Lineage: Eukaryota; Fungi; Basidiomycota; Agaricomycetes; Boletales; Serpulaceae.
AACAAGGAUUCCCCUAGUAACUGCGAGUGAAGCGGGAAGAGCUCAAAUUUUGAAUCUGGCGGUCCUCGUGGUCGUCCGAGUUGUAAUCUAGAGAAGCGUUUUCCGCGCUGGACCGUGUACAAGUCUCCUGGAACGGAGCGUCAUAGAGGGUGAGAAUCCCGUCUCUGACACGGACUACCAGGGCUUUUGUGAUGCGCUCUCGACGAGUCGAGUUGUUUGGGAAUGCAGCUCAAAUUGGGUGGUAAAUUCCAUCUAAAGCUAAAUACAGGCGAGAGACCGAUAGCGAACAAGUACCGUGAGGGAAAGAUGAAAAGAACUUUGGAAAGAGAGUUAAACAGUACGUGAAAUUGCUGAAAGGGAAACGCUUGAAGUCAGUCGCGUUGGCCGGGGAUCAGCCUUGCAAUCUUGUUGGGUGCAUUUCCUGGUUGACGGGUCAGCAUCGAUUUUGACCGUCGGAGAAGGGUCGAGGGAAUGUGGCAUCCUUCAGGGUGUGUUAUAGCCUUUGAUCGUAUGCGACGGUUGGGAUCGAGGAACUCAGCAUGACCCCUCGUGGGUUUGGGGCUUCGGCUCACAUCCAUGCUUAGGAUGCUGGCAUAAUGGCUUUAAGCGACCCGUCUUGAAACACGGACCAAGGAGUCUAACAUGCCCGCGAGUGUUUGGGUGUUUAAAACCCGAGCGCGUAAUGAAAGUGAAAGUUGAGACCUCUGUCGUGGAGGGCAUCGACGCCCGGACCAGAACUUUUGUGACGGCCCUGCGGUAGAGCGUGUAUGUUGGGACCCGAAAGAUGGUGAACUAUGCCUGAAUAGGGUGAAGCCAGAGGAAACUCUGGUGGAGGCUCGUAGCGAUUCUGACGUGCAAAUCGAUCGUCGAAUUUGGG